GUGAGGAAUAUUGGUCAAUGGGCGGGAGCCUGAACCAGCCAAGUCGCGUGAAGGAAGAAGGAUCUAUGGUUCGUAAACUUCUUUUGCAGGGGAAUAAAGUGCGGGACGUGUCCUGUUUUGUAUGUACCCUGAGAAUAAGGAUCGGCUAACUCCGUGCCAGCAGCCGCGGUAAUACGGAGGAUCCGAGCGUUAUCCGGAUUUAUUGGGUUUAAAGGGUGCGCAGGCGGGUUGAUAAGUCAGCGGUGAAAGUUUGCAGCUUAACUGUAAAAUUGCCGUUGAAACUGUCGAUCUUGAGUGCAAAUGAGGUAAGCGGAAUGUGUUGUGUAGCGGUGAAAUGCUUAGAUAUAACACAGAACACCGAUUGCGAAGGCAGCUUACUGGGAUGCAACUGACGCUCAUGCACGAAAGCGUGGGGAUCAAACAGGAUUAGAUACCCGAGUAGUCC
Molecule: ribosomal RNA, 445 nt
Filed under: uncultured bacterium
Lineage: Bacteria
Description: partial 16S ribosomal RNA
Rfam family: Bacterial small subunit ribosomal RNA
Source: RNAcentral